Molecule: long non-coding RNA, 691 nt
Filed under: Diabrotica virgifera virgifera (western corn rootworm)
Lineage: Eukaryota; Metazoa; Arthropoda; Insecta; Coleoptera; Chrysomelidae
Description: uncharacterized LOC126888769
Source: RNAcentral
UUGUAGAUGUUUUUAGACAAAUAUUCUGUUUGGUUUUGUUUUUGAUUGUUAAUUGUGCAGCGAAAUUGUGAUAGUAAAUUAAAUAUAAAGUUGUUUAUCGCCUACAGAACUGAAUUAUCCCAUAGUAAUUAUCAGUUUGUGUCAAUUUGUUUAAAAAAGAAAAAACACCUUUCCUUGUGUUUGACCGACUUGUAGCAAGGGCUUUCUUGUGAAUCCUGUAAAUUGCGGGAAUAGGACAGACAGGGAUAAAAUCCUCACUUUUUACUGUUCCCAAGGCUAUACAUUUCCCCCAUGCAAUACAUUUAAAUGAAUUUUAUCCAAACAAAGGCAGGAACAUUGGAUAAAAGCAAUAAGGAGAACAGACCUCAAAUUAAAAUAUGAGAGUAUACAGUAAACAUUUUAUAAGUGGAAUAAACACCAGCUAUUUUAAAUGUAGGAAAAGGAGAAACUGCUGGAACCUAACUUUACACAAAUGUUUUUGACUAUUGAAGAUUUGGAUAAACAACAGAAGUUACUUUGGGCUAUAGCUAUGUGCAGAUUUAUUUCAUUGUGGAUUACUAUGUUUAUUCUUUUUAACUAUACUUCCUACGUUGUUUGUGAGAUUAAUAUUAUUAUUUAAUUGAUUAUAUUAAUAUUUUGUAAUAAUAAUCAAUGCUUUGGUUUAACAAAUAGACAACUUAAAAUAGAAAAA